AACUAAUAUAUAUUUACAGUUUUGUUUGAAGUUCGUUGUUAUUAUUUGAAAAUGGAUUUGAUUUUAAUAGAGAAAGUCAGCGAACAUGCUGUUAUUUAUAAUAAUGCAUUGCCCGAAUAUCGUGAUCAACAUAAGAAUUAGAAAUAACUGGUAUGAAUUGUUCCCUUGCGUACACUAUUAAGUUGCCAAACUACACUACCGGCUUCUGAAUUAAAAGAUUCUUUAAAAUUUUCUCGAACGCUUCGCGCGUGUUAUUUCUUCUUAGUGGAUCUAUAUUCAAUAAAGCUGAUUCAGGAAGUCGAAGUGAUUCAAUAUCUGCUUCAAAUGCAUUGUCUUUACAUAACAUGUUAUGCAAGCAGCAAGAUGCAAGGACGAUUUUAUCUACAAAAUCUGGUUGCACUUUUAAGUACCUCCGGAAACAUCUCCAACGUGCAGCUAGAAUACCGAAAGCAUUUUCCACUACACGUCUCGCCUGUGACAAUCUGCAAUUAAAUACUUUAUUGGGCUCAUUGUCUCCUAUAUAAUGCCUACUAUAUAGGCGAAGCAGAUAAGUUUUUAGGGGAAAUGCUUCAUCUCCGAUAACAACAUGUGAUUCUGGCUGUCCGUUUUCUAAUAUAGGUGUCAAUUCUGGCACAUUAAAUGUUUUA
Molecule: long non-coding RNA, 647 nt
Organism: Anthonomus grandis grandis
Lineage: Eukaryota; Metazoa; Arthropoda; Insecta; Coleoptera; Curculionidae
Exons: 2
Source: RefSeq, a predicted model, not a curated record